Molecule: ribosomal RNA, 447 nt
Filed under: Acrapex sysciodes
Lineage: Eukaryota; Metazoa; Arthropoda; Insecta; Lepidoptera; Noctuidae
Description: partial 16S large subunit ribosomal RNA
Source: RNAcentral
AUCUGCCCACUGAUUAAAUAUUAAAGGGCUGCAGUAUAUUGACUGUACAAAGGUAGCAUAAUCAUUAGUCAUUUAAUUGAUGACUUGUAUGAAAGAUUGGAUGAAAUAUAAACUGUCUCUUAUUUAAUUAUAAAAUUUAAUUUUUUUAUUAAAAAGUUAAAAUAUUUUAAAAAGACGAGAAGACCCUAUAGAGUUUUAUAAAUUAUUAAAUUGAGAUUAUAUGUAAAAUAAAUUUAAAAUUAAAUUAUUUAUUUUGUUGGGGUGAUAAAAAAAUAUAUUUAACUUUUUUUAAUUAUAAAACAUUUAUAAGUGGUUAAAUGAUCCAAUAAUAUUGAUUAUAAGAAAAAAUUACCUUAGGGAUAACAGCGUAAUUUUUUUUUUUAGUUCAAAUAAAAAAAAAAGUUUGCGACCUCGAUGUUGGAUUAAGAUAAAAUUUAAAUGUAGAAG